Molecule: transfer RNA, 85 nt
Filed under: Bacteroidales bacterium
Lineage: Bacteria; Pseudomonadati; Bacteroidota; Bacteroidia; Bacteroidales
Description: tRNA-Leu
Rfam family: tRNA
About the family: Transfer RNA (tRNA) molecules are approximately 80 nucleotides in length. Their secondary structure includes four short double-helical elements and three loops (D, anti-codon, and T loops).
Source: RNAcentral
GCCCUGGUGGCGGAAUAGGUAGACGCGCUGGACUUAAAAUCCAGUGAUCAUUGCGAUCGUGCCGGUUCGACCCCGGCCCGGGGUA